UACGUAGGUUGCGAGCGUUGUCCGGAAUUCUUGGGCGUAAAGGGCUUGUAGGCGGUUUGUCGCGUCUGAUGUGAAAAUCCGGGGCUCAACCCCGGACUUGCAGUGGGUACGGGCAGACUAGAGUGUGGUAGGGGAGGCUGGAAUUCCUGGUGUAGCGGUGGAGUGCGCAGAUAUCAGGAGGAACACCGAUGGCGAAGGCAGGUCUCUGGGCCACUACUGACGCUGAGAAGCGAAAGCAUGGGGAGCGAACAGG
This 253-nucleotide ribosomal RNA is filed under the name uncultured bacterium. RNAcentral describes it as "partial 16S ribosomal RNA". It matches the Rfam family "Bacterial small subunit ribosomal RNA", at positions 524 to 776 of the family's 1533-position model. The record is from RNAcentral.